CCUACGGGAGGCAGCAGUAGGGAAUCUUCGGCAAUGGGGGGAACCCUGACCGAGCAACGCCGCGUGAGUGAAGAAGGUUUUCGGAUCGUAAAGCUCUGUUGUAAGAGAAGAACGUGUGUGAGAGUGGAAAGUUCACACAGCGACGGUAACUUACCAGAAAGGGACGGCUAACUACGUGCCAGCAGCCGCGGUAAU
RNAcentral lists this ribosomal RNA (195 nucleotides) under uncultured bacterium. RNAcentral describes it as "partial 16S ribosomal RNA". It matches the Rfam family "Bacterial small subunit ribosomal RNA", at positions 338 to 524 of the family's 1533-position model. The record is from RNAcentral.